UAGGGAAUCUUCGGCAAUGGGGGGAACCCUGACCGAGCAACGCCGCGUGAGUGAAGAAGGUUUUCGGAUCGUAAAGCUCUGUUGUUAAGGAAGAACGAGUGUGAGAAUGGAAAGUUCAUACUGUGACGGUACUUAACCAGAAAGGGACGGCUAACUACGUGCCAGCAGCCGCGGUAAUACGUAGGUCCCGAGCGUUGUCCGGAUUUAUUGGGCGUAAAGCGAGCGCAGGCGGUUAGAUAAGUCUGAAGUUAAAGGCAGUGGCUCAACCAUUGUAGGCUUUGGAAACAGUUUAACUUGAGUGCAGAAGGGGAGAGUAGAAUUCCAUGUGUAGCGGUGAAAUGCGUAGAUAUAUGGAGGAACACCGGUGGCGAAAGCGGCUCUCUGGUCUGUAACUGACGCUGAGGCUCGAAAGCGUGGGGAGCGAACAGG
Molecule: ribosomal RNA, 429 nt
Filed under: Bacteroidota bacterium
Lineage: Bacteria; Pseudomonadati; Bacteroidota
Description: Bacteroidetes bacterium partial 16S ribosomal RNA
Rfam family: Bacterial small subunit ribosomal RNA
Source: RNAcentral